This 292-nucleotide ribosomal RNA is filed under the name uncultured bacterium. RNAcentral describes it as "partial 16S ribosomal RNA". It matches the Rfam family "Bacterial small subunit ribosomal RNA", at positions 505 to 796 of the family's 1533-position model. The record is from RNAcentral.
GUGUCAGCAGCCGCGGUAAUACGUAGGGGGCAAGCGUUGUCCGGAAUUAUUGGGCGUAAAGCGCGUGUAGGCGGCCAGAUAAGUCCGCUGUGAAAUCUCGAGGCUCAACUUCGAGCUGUCGGUGGAAACUGUCUGGCUAGAGUCCGGAAGAGGAGAAUGGAAUUCCUGGUGUAGCGGUGAAAUGCGCAGAUAUCAGGAAGAACACCCGUGGCGAAGGCGGUUCUCUGGGACGGUACUGACGCUGAGACGCGAAAGCGUGGGGAGCGAACAGGAUUAGAAACCCCCGUAGUCC